CGCGGCCUAUCAGCUUGUUGGUGAGGUAAUGGCUCACCAAGGCGACGACGGGUAGCCGGCCUGAGAGGGCGACCGGCCACACUGGGACUGAGACACGGCCCAGACUCCUACGGGAGGCAGCAGUGGGGAAUAUUGCACAAUGGGCGAAAGCCUGAUGCAGCGACGCCGCGUGAGGGAUGACGGCCUUCGGGUUGUAAACCUCUUUCAGCAGGGAAGAAGCGAAAGUGACGGUACCUGCAGAAGAAGCGCCGGCUAACUACGCGCCAGCAGCCGCGGUAAUACGUAGGGCGCAAGCGUUGUCCGGAAUUAUUGGGCGUAAAGAGCUCGUGGGCGGUCUGUCGCGUCGGAUGUGAAAGCCCGGGGCUUAACCCCGGGUCUGCAUUCGAUACGGGCAGACUAGAGUGUGGUAGGGGAGAUCGGAAUUCCUGGUGUAGCGGUGAAAUGCGCAGAUAUCAGGAGGAACACCGGUGGCGAAGGCGGAUCUCUGGGCCAUUACUGACGCUGAGGAGCGAAAGCGUGGGGAGCGAACAGGAUUAGAUACCCUGGUAGUCCACGCCGUAAACGGUGGGAACUAGGUGUUGGCGACAUUCCACGUCGUCGGUGCCGCAGCUAACGCAUUAAGUUCCCCGCCUGGGAGUACGGA
This 643-nucleotide ribosomal RNA is filed under the name uncultured bacterium. RNAcentral describes it as "bacterial SSU rRNA". It matches the Rfam family "Bacterial small subunit ribosomal RNA", at positions 232 to 886 of the family's 1533-position model. The record is from RNAcentral.